GUUCAUGCUUGCGUUGAAAGAGUGGUCGUUUACGCUGGGUCAUCACUGUGUAGUAUUGGGGAUACUUAGGUGAGAAAAAAACUUAACGCUAGAGACGUUCACGCACUAGUGGAGAAGCCAGGAUUGUUGCCCUAGAGUUACAGUAGAUAAAAGUACCUGAGAGAACUGCGGGGGCUCCCAACCUGGACGCUUGCACCGGAGUAUUAAAUCCAGCUAGAGAAUGGCAUGUGCAAAGAUACAGAGCUUUUAGAAGUUGCCUGCAUUCCUUGGCCCCUUCCUCACAUCAUUCCAACCAACUUCCAUCCUUACAAUCGAUUACUUUCCUGUAAUAGCCACAGUCAGAUGGGCAGCUGAAGGUGAUGAUGAUGAUCUUGACACCGAGAAGCAGAAGACCAAUGAAGAUGACCAGACAGCAAAAAAGGAUAAGUUAAAAGAAGGUAAAAGAAGGCCACUCGUACUUGCUGUCUCAGUAUCUAAAGGUGGUCACCUUCCAGUAGAGAGGCCCACCCACUGCAGACAGUGCCACCGAAGGUGACAUGCACUUUCUGCCACCCAUCCAAAACUGUAACGUGAAUCUGCAACAGGAGAGGAAAGAAGAAC
Molecule: long non-coding RNA, 600 nt
Filed under: Pan troglodytes (chimpanzee)
Lineage: Eukaryota; Metazoa; Chordata; Mammalia; Primates; Hominidae
Description: long non-coding RNA NONPTRT002770
Source: RNAcentral